ACUACACUCCUACGGGAGGCAGCAGUGGGGAAUUUUGGACAAUGGGCGAAAGCCUGAUCCAGCAAUGCCGCGUGCAGGAUGAAGGCCUUCGGGUUGUAAACUGCUUUUGUACGGAACGAAAAAGCUCCUUCUAAUACAGGGGGCCCAUGACGGUACCGUAAGAAUAAGCACCGGCUAACUACGUGCCAGCAGCCGCGGUAAUACGUAGGGUGCGAGCGUUAAUCGGAAUUACUGGGCGUAAAGCGUGCGCAGGCGGUUAUGUAAGACAGAUGUGAAAUCCCCGGGCUCAACCUGGGAACUGCAUUUGUGACUGCAUGGCUAGAGUACGGUAGAGGGGGAUGGAAUUCCGCGUGUAGCAGUGAAAUGCGUAGAUAUGCGGAGGAACACCGAUGGCGAAGGCAAUCCCCUGGACCUGUACUGACGCUCAUGCACGAAAGCGUGGGGAGCAAACAGGAUUAGAUACCCUGGUAGUCCC
This 475-nucleotide ribosomal RNA is filed under the name uncultured organism. RNAcentral describes it as "partial 16S ribosomal RNA". It matches the Rfam family "Bacterial small subunit ribosomal RNA", at positions 330 to 797 of the family's 1533-position model. The record is from RNAcentral.